GCCCGGCUGGCUGAGUGGGAAGAGCAUGCGACUCUUGAUCCCAGGGUUGUGAGUUUGAGCCCCGUGCAGGGUG
Molecule: transfer RNA, 73 nt
Organism: Felis catus (domestic cat)
Lineage: Eukaryota; Metazoa; Chordata; Mammalia; Carnivora; Felidae
Rfam family: tRNA
About the family: Transfer RNA (tRNA) molecules are approximately 80 nucleotides in length. Their secondary structure includes four short double-helical elements and three loops (D, anti-codon, and T loops).
Source: Rfam